AGUGAACGCUGGCGGUAGGCCUAACACAUGCAAGUCGAACGGCAGCACAGUAAGAGCUUGCUCUUACGGGUGGCGAGUGGCGGACGGGUGAGGAAUACAUCGGAAUCUACUUUUUCGUGGGGGAUAACGUAGGGAAACUUACGCUAAUACCGCAUACGACCUACGGGUGAAAGCAGGGGAUCUUCGGACCUUGCGCGAUUGAAUGAGCCGAUGUCGGAUUAGCUAGUUGGCGGGGUAAAGGCCCACCAAGGCGACGAUCCGUAGCUGGUCUGCGAGGAUGAUCGGCCACACUGGAACUGGAACACGGUCCAGGCUCCUACGGGAGGCAGCAGUGGGGAAUAUUGGACAAUGGGCGCAAGCCUGAUCCAGCCAUACCGCGUGGGUGAAGAAGGCCUUCGGGUUGUAAAGCCCUUUUGUUGGGAAAGAAAAGCAGCAGGUUAAUACCCCGCUGUUCUGACGGUACCCAAAGAAUAAGCACCGGCUAACUUCGUG
Molecule: ribosomal RNA, 492 nt
Filed under: uncultured bacterium
Lineage: Bacteria
Description: partial 16S ribosomal RNA
Rfam family: Bacterial small subunit ribosomal RNA
Source: RNAcentral